UCCGUAGGUGAACCUGCGGAAGGAUCAUUAAUGAUUGACCGUCUGUCGAGCUUGCUCACAGGCACAUCAUAUCCAUAACACCUGUGCACUUGUCGGAUGGCUUAGUGAAGACCGCAAGGUUGAAUCUAUCCAUCUACUUUACAUAACAAUUCUGUAACAAAUGUAGUCUUAUUAUAACAUAAUAAAACUUUCAACAACGGAUCUCUUGGCUCUCGCAUCGAUGAAGAACGCAGCGAAAUGCGAUAAGUAAUGUGAAUUGCAGAAUUCAGUGAAUCAUCGAAUCUUUGAACGCACCUUGCGCUCCUUGGUAUUCCGAGGAGCAUGCCUGUUUGAGUGUCAUGAAAACCCUCAACCCUAGAUUGGUUAAAACCUUUCUUUGGUUUGGAUUUGGACGUUUGCCGAUGAUAAGUCGGCUCGUCUUAAAAGUAAUAGCUGGAUCUGUCUCGCGACAUGGUUUGACUUGGCGUAAUAAGUAUUUCGCUAAGGACAUCUUCGGAUGGCCGCGUUGCAGGACUAAAGACCGCUUUCUAAUCCAUUGAUCUUCGGAUUAAUACUCUUGACAUCUGGCCU
This 570-nucleotide ribosomal RNA is filed under the name Naganishia albida. Its description in RNAcentral is "eukaryotic LSU rRNA". The stretch from base 186 to 339 matches the Rfam family "5.8S ribosomal RNA". The record is from RNAcentral. Lineage: Eukaryota; Fungi; Basidiomycota; Tremellomycetes; Filobasidiales; Filobasidiaceae.